GGUUGGAGCCUCCCAGAGUGGAAACCCGGGAGGGAGAGCCCACGGCAAAAAAGGUCUGGUCAAAUCCAAUGACCAUGGACAUGGACAUCAAGAUCGGGAACAAGCCGGCCAGCCGCAUCCGGAUGUUGCUGCGUUCCGACGUUGUUCCCAUGACAGCAGGGCCAAAUGUUUGCUCAAGGCUUCCCAGUAAGAAGAGAAAUUCUGGAA
Molecule: long non-coding RNA, 207 nt
Organism: Neomonachus schauinslandi (Hawaiian monk seal)
Lineage: Eukaryota; Metazoa; Chordata; Mammalia; Carnivora; Phocidae
Exons: 3
Source: RefSeq, a predicted model, not a curated record